ACGCAGGGCUGCCCGCAA
Molecule: unclassified non-coding RNA, 18 nt
Filed under: Mus musculus (house mouse)
Lineage: Eukaryota; Metazoa; Chordata; Mammalia; Rodentia; Muridae
Description: oocyte_clustered_small_RNA8403
Source: RNAcentral